This 490-nucleotide ribosomal RNA is filed under the name uncultured bacterium. RNAcentral describes it as "partial 16S ribosomal RNA". It matches the Rfam family "Bacterial small subunit ribosomal RNA", at positions 30 to 507 of the family's 1533-position model. The record is from RNAcentral.
AUUGAACGCUGGCGGCAGGCCUAACACAUGCAAGUCGAACGGUAACAGGAAGAAGCUAGCUUCUUUGCUGACGAGUGGCGGACGGGUGAGUAAUGUCUGGGAAACUGCCUGAUGGAGGGGGAUAACUACUGGAAACGGUAGCUAAUACCGCAUAACGUCGCAAGACCAAAGAGGGGGACCUUCGGGCCUCUUGCCAUCGGAUGUGCCCAGAUGGGAUUAGCUAGUAGGUGGGGUAACGGCUCACCUAGGCGACGAUCCCUAGCUGGUCUGAGAGGAUGACCAGCCACACUGGAACUGAGACACGGUCCAGACUCCUACGGGAGGCAGCAGUGGGGAAUAUUGCACAAUGGGCGCAAGCCUGAUGCAGCCAUGCCGCGUGUAUGAAGAAGGCCUUCGGGUUGUAAAGUACUUUCAGCGGGGAGGAAGGGAGUAAAGUUAAUACCUUUGCUCAUUGACGGUACCCGCAGAAGAAGCACCGGCUAACUCCGUG